Molecule: transfer RNA, 73 nt
Filed under: Bacteroidales bacterium
Lineage: Bacteria; Pseudomonadati; Bacteroidota; Bacteroidia; Bacteroidales
Description: tRNA-Thr
Rfam family: tRNA
About the family: Transfer RNA (tRNA) molecules are approximately 80 nucleotides in length. Their secondary structure includes four short double-helical elements and three loops (D, anti-codon, and T loops). Further hydrogen bonds mediate the characteristic L-shaped molecular structure. tRNAs have two regions of fundamental functional importance: the anti-codon, which is responsible for specific mRNA codon recognition, and the 3' end, to which the tRNAs corresponding amino acid is attached (by aminoacyl-tRNA synthetases). tRNAs cope with the degeneracy of the genetic code in two manners: having more than one tRNA (with a specific anti-codon) for a particular amino acid; and 'wobble' base-pairing, i.e. permitting non-standard base-pairing at the 3rd anti-codon position.
Source: RNAcentral
GCCCCAAUAGCUCAAUUGGCAGAGCGCCUGACUUGUAAUCAGGAGGUUGUAGGUUCAAGUCCUAUUUGGGGCU